This 61-nucleotide transfer RNA is filed under the name Peronia peronii. RNAcentral describes it as "tRNA-Gln". The record is from RNAcentral. Lineage: Eukaryota; Metazoa; Mollusca; Gastropoda; Systellommatophora; Onchidiidae.
UUCUUCUCGGUGUUUGGCACCGGAAAAUUUGAGUUUCCUGGAGAACUUUGUUCAGAAGAAG